UGAUGAAUUUCAGGAACAUACCUCUUUCUGUGAUAUUAGAUUACCAUAUGACGCUCGACGCUCUGUAUAUGACAGAUGAUACGGAAACUGGUUCAGUUGUUCAUUAUAGGAAAUAUCUUUCAACACCCUAAAAUUCUAAUGAAAGAUUUCGAAUAAUUUUAUCUAUUGACUAAUGGACCUAUAUAUCGAGUUUUUAAAAAAUUGACGACACAGUUUUAUGUCCACCUCAGAAUAUUAUGAGGGAUAAUCCAUAUGAAUAGGUAUGUGUUUUUAAGUAUGUUUUUAUGUUGCUCUGUUGUAUUUUGUUUCUAUACCUACUAAAGUAUACUGUUUUUUUACAUUAUGGCACUAUGUUACGCCCCAUAUUUUCAAUGUCGUUCUGUUUCCAGCCUUGAAAAAGACCAGAAAUAAAGGUCGAAACGUCGGCAUCUCAUUAAGGAUUUUUAUUUCCCCUGUCCUCUUUGCCACUACAUAGUUGAAUAUAUUCCUUGUGUUGUUCAUAGAGUUAUUUCACCUUUGGUAUACAAUUUGAGGGAUCUCAAUGGAAAUGACCUGGGUAAUUUUAAUGUUAGCUAUUUGAAGUUGUAUAUUAGUGAUAGUGCCACUGAUGAUCGGCACGACAAUUAUUAGUACCUAAUAUAAUUUUAAUUUUCUUUAUUUUGUUCACAUUUUUUUGUGUGUUGAGGUCAUUUAUUUGAUUUUCAGCUUAGUUUUUUAUUUUUGAAUUUUCUCAAUUGAUAAACUUGGACAGACAGCUUAAGCUGGGGCUUUCAGUUAUGAAUAUUGAAUUCCCAUAUUUUUGGUCAUUUUGGCAUAGAGAUUAUGCAUUGAGUAUGUAAGUUUGCAUAAAUAUUCUGUCUGUCCGAAAUUUGUCAGAAGCGAUUGUUUACUAUUCAGUGAAACUAAUUUUUGGAUAGAUUUUUUAACUGCUUUUGUUUAGAUUCACAAUAUUUUCAGAUUUUCUCUUUUUGUAAUUGAUUCGAAUAGAUUAGCACCAAUAAUUUUACCUUGUGUAGUAUUUUGAGUGUGAGAUAGUAUCUCACUGGCGCCCAACUUUAGUUUUUUGUUGUUCUUUCUAUCUUUUAAUGUCGUUCUGAUCUGAUGUCCUAUUUUGUCGUGGGUUAUAAAUUAUAUUAUGAAAAGGGAGGUAGGGAGGAGAGUCAGAUUGAUUGUGUAUAGUUUCUUGAAGCUAUAUACUGCCAAUCUUGAACUGUUCACUGAGUGGUUUAUUUUAGAACUUUUCAAACCAAAUUAAAGAAGAACCGUAGAACUGUUCUCUUUUUAGCUACUCAUAUCAUUGAGAGCAUCAUGAAAUAACCUUGAAUUAUUUGUGAUUCGUUAUUAUAAUUGUAUGUUUUGUUCAGAAGACUGAUGUGGGGACAAAUAUCUUUUAUAUAUAGUAAUUUCUAUUAGUAAUAUUUUUUUUUAUUGGACUGAAGAGGGUACACAAACUUCCUGUAGCGCACUGUCCAAUAGGUUUGCUGACCAUCUAGCAUACCAUGUCUCCUUUCUAUUUUUGAUGGGUACUUGUUUCGAAUAUGAUUAAUUUCUAUUUCAAUAUUUAAACAUUAAAAUUUUUGCUACUUUCAGGGUUUUAUGCACUCAUUUUUUUUUUUUUUUGGUGGGUAGAGGAGAUGUGUAACGAUACGAUCGUUACAACUUUCUUUUUUUUUUUAAUUUUAAUUUAUUCAUUACAUAUUUGUUGUACCGUCACUGCAUUUGUACGUGUAUCGAAGAAUUCAGAUUUGCAGAUGGGCGCAUGUUUUCAAUCUGAUAAGAUAUUAAUCGGUUAUUCGAAGAUUUUAUUCUAUCUUUUCUGCUUUGUCUGGUAAAUGAAAUAAGUCAUCGGAGUUGACUUCUUGAUAUAGAUAUUUUUUGGUAUUAAAUUUUGAGAUUUAGUUGAUAUUUCAUAGUUUCUAUUGGUUUAGUGAAACUCAAUAAAAAUUGAGUUUUUGGAUGAAGCCCAGAAUUUCGAUUUGAACAUAUAUUUCCAAGAUUGAACUUCGUUGACCAACAUCCAACUUCGAAGAAUCCAUCACAUCUGAAAACUGUGGUCAUAAGAACCUGGAAAUCCUUAUAUGGUGCUGUGACAGUAUCGUACCAAAUCAGAUGGUUCUUUCUGCAUGGGAGCACUUCACCUGGAUUUUAAUUGCUAAUGGAAGUAUUCUGCUAUGUAUUUUGUAAUUUCAUUCGAUAUCCAAUUUAUAUAAUUUCGUAUGCUCUAUUUCAUUUUUCAUUUGAGACAAUUCGCUUCAAAGCUAUUCAUAAUAAUUUUCAUUGUUGAAAUUCAAUUGUAAGCAGCUAUUUUUCAAUAUUUCACUCUUAACUUUUUAUUACAAUUUGAGCAAUUUAGUGGAUCAUUUCAUCUUAUUAAUAAAUCUCUGAAAGUGGA
This is a long non-coding RNA of Harmonia axyridis, 2392 nucleotides long. RefSeq lists it as uncharacterized. Lineage: Eukaryota; Metazoa; Arthropoda; Insecta; Coleoptera; Coccinellidae. The transcript has 2 exons. The record is from RefSeq and is a predicted model, not a curated record.